UUAUGGCGUCAGGAGUGAACGACUGGCGGCGUGCCUAACACAUGCAAGUCGAACGGAGUUACGAGAGCUUGCUUUGUAACUUAGUGGCGGACGGGUGAGUAAUGUAUGAGCAACCUGCCUUUCAGAGGGGGACAACAGUUGGAAACGACUGCUAAUACCGCAUAAUGUAUUUUGAGGGCAUCCUCGGGAUACCAAAGGAGCAAUCCGCUGAAAGAUGGGCUCAUAUCUGAUUAGCUAGUUGGUGGGGUAACGGCUCACCAAGGCUGCGAUCAGUAGCCGGACUGAGAGGUUGAACGGCCACAUUGGGACUGAGAUACGGCCCAGACUCCUACGGGAGGCAGCAGUGGGGAAUAUUGGGCAAUGGGCGAAAAAGCCUGACCCAGCAACGCCGCGUGAAGGAAGAAGGUCUUCGGAUUGUAAACUUCUUUUAUGAGGGACGAAGGACGUGACGGUACCUCAUGAAUAAGCCACGGCUAACUACGUGCCAGCCGCCGC
Molecule: ribosomal RNA, 495 nt
Filed under: uncultured bacterium
Lineage: Bacteria
Description: bacterial SSU rRNA
Rfam family: Bacterial small subunit ribosomal RNA
Source: RNAcentral